This is a non-coding RNA of Chlamydotis undulata (Houbara bustard), 114 nucleotides long. NCBI's taxonomy places the organism in Eukaryota, Metazoa, Chordata, Aves, Otidiformes, Otididae. The record is from Rfam.
GUAGGAUACGGUGACAUUUAUCCUAAGACGUUAUUAGGUAAAAUAGUUGGAGGACUUUGCUGUAUCGCUGGAGUGUUGGUCAUAGCCCUGCCCAUACCAAUUAUUGUGAACAAU